GAGAACGGGACUCCCGUUGAAGGAAUCAGAGAAAGGACUGAAAGAGCUUGAAGGAGCUUGAGACCCCAUGUGAACAACAAUGCCAAGCAACCAGAGCUUCCAGGGACUAAUUACCCAAAGACUAUACAUGGACUGACCCUGGACUCUGACCUCAUAGAUCAUUACAGAAGUUAAUUUCAGCAGAUGCCUUCAGCGUGCCAAGCCUUUCAAAAUGAAGAAUUAUCAGCCUUCAGACCGAUCCAACGUCAAUGUGGACAGAAUCUUGGAUGAAACAUAUAAUUCACGGCAGCAGUGGCACAAACAAGUCCUCUGGUUUGGUCAACUUCAUCGUAAGAUAAUGCAUGUGAAAGAACGAAAUGAAACGAAACGAAUUCAGAAAAUGCACAAUGAGAAAAGGAAAAAAUGUCUGAAACUGGGAGUCUACUCGCUCAAGCAUGGGAAUGCUAAUAUUGCUCUGGAAAAUAGAAGUUAAACGUGAAUAGCAGAAGCUAACAGUCUCUCUGCAGGUGGAGGGAAGGGAAGAAAAUGGCAGAAGUUUUGCCUGGGGUGGAAUGGAAUAUACAUGCAAAUUUAUCAGUACAUAUUUAUGUCUGAGGCAAAGAUUUGGGGGAAGAAGAGGGGGUAGCUCAUCAGAGAUACACCGCCACUAAAAGUUGAACGUUCCCAAGGAGAGAAAAAAUAGAAAAGGAUGCAUUUAGAAUUUUAAAAUACACUUUGAGUUAUGAGUCCACUUCAUUUAUAUGGCAUUCUAACCCUGGUCACUUCUUAAAAGCACAGACAUUAUAUAAUGAGCUGCCAGUUUUCUUAUUAAUCAUUAAGGUUAAUGUUGUAAGAAUGUUGGAAAAGGGCAUGUACCUGAGAGCUCAGUGACUGGGUGAGUACAGUUGUCACCAAGUAGGUAGGGAAAUACACGCGUGAAGAACAACGGUUAAAUUUUGGUAUGACCAAAAAACAAAACAAAACAAGAAAAAAAAAACAAAAACAACCACAAACCCACCAGUGGGCUCCAAGUAGACCACAACUUCAUCAAAAGACUUGAGGAACUGGGAAGUGUUUUGGUGGCCAAAGAUGUAUCAACUUUCAGCUGCUGGUAUCUGUAAGGGUUCUGAAGCAACUUCCUGAAGUAGAAGCUGACUUUAAAAAAAAAAAAGAAAGAAAAGGCAUUUUUUUAGAAAAUUUGAUUUCUAACUCCUCUUGUCAGAAACAAUGAUGCACCCAGGAGAUUUUAGCUUGAAGGACAGGCAUGGAUAAGAGGCUAGCAUAGAUGCCAGAUUCAGGAAAUAAAAAGGUAAAUAACCAGAAGAAAGUAAACCAUUUCACAGAAGGACAACAGAGUCGGCAACGCUCAUAGGACUGAGGUCAUUCCAUGUCCCAUGAGGCUUAUCACUGAGGCAUAGAUGCACCCUCCAAGGCAUCCAUGUUCUGCUAAGAAAACCCCCCAGCCAGGCUUCAGAGAGAUCAGUAGGACCAUUCAGUCCAGUUGUUAAAAGAGCAGCGUACACAGAAUUCUCAGGCACACGAUGCUACAAUAUAUCCUUAUCCGACACAUGGAGGGGAGGAACUUCUUGCCAGGUGCACGUUCAACUGCUGUCUAGGCUACAGAAAUACAUCCCAACUACCAACCACGCUGCUGUCCUACCCUGGUCUUCUUACUCUUUGUUUGAUCCCUCAUUCCUCCUCCUUACAGGCUUCUAAGUGUGUGUUCCUCAGCUUGGCACAGUUGGAGUUUGGUGGAAGCUGUAAGAACUAUUCCCUAGCUCGAAGCUGCUGGAUACAUGUCCAUGAGGGGCAGAGCUCAAAUGUAUUUACUUCAUAUCUAUUUCCCGGUCACCUCAGGCUGAGCAGUUUCUUCUGUCACUUGCUCCCAUGUGACGUCUUUCACACCACAGGCUCUGGGGCAGCAGAUGCAAUUGGAAAUAGACUUAAUUUCCCAAAACUGUGAAUUUUCCAAAACAAACCGUUUUUCUGUGUAAGUUGAAUUCUCUUGGGUAUUUGUUAUACUACCAGGACUAGGUCUAAGAAACUCAUGGAUAUUUUAUGCCCUUCCACCACGGGACACAUUCAUUAUCUUCUUUUUUAAUUAAUUAUUUUAUUUAUUUACAUCCAAAAUGUCCACCCCCCAUUCUCUCCUACCAGAGUUCCCCACCCCAUCCCUCCAUGCCCUUUGCUAAGGGUGCUCCACCCCAGCAUCCACCAUAUCUGGGGCAUCAAGUCUAUACAGGGCUAGGCACAUCCUUUUCCAGUGGGACCAGACAAAGCAGUCAGUCCUCUGUUACAUAUGUGCCAGGGGUCUCCGACCCACCUGCAGGUCUCUAUCCCAAAAUGAUGUGUUGAUAGAAGUAUACCAGAACUACACUACACAGAACUGGCUGUGUGUGUGUGUGUGUGUGUGUGUGUGUGUGUGUGUGUGUGUGUGUGUGCAUGUGCAUUUCUUUUCCAUUAUUAGCAACUUUUUUAUUGCAAGAUGUCGUCAAAGAUCACCAGACCUUGGAUAAGGUUGAAUGAUAUAUUCAGUGAUAAACCCUUGAAAGGAGAAGUCUUAGAUACAUAAUAGGACUUUCUUUCUGUAGGAUAGAAGUAACAGCCAAGCUAACUGAAAGUUUGUGAUUGGCAAAGAGGAAUAAGAUUUCUUCCCAGACUCUUGUCCUUACUUAUUUUUUGAUGAUAUAGAUCUAGCAAGAUAACCUGAUCCCUUCUUAUAAUUUUCCAUUCCUAGUAAUUGUCGUGAGAGAGCACAGAGCUAUGCAAUUGGAGGAAGACUUCUUGAUAGCCCUUUGCCUGACUUACUGAGUACAGUGCCCUCCUUAGGAGUACUAAUUUUAAAGCUUGAUAUGUGCCAAGCCAUGGACAAGAUUAACUGGCUUUAAAAUCUAGAGAUGAAUUAGAGACCAAGAACCAUUUACCUUAUGGCUAAAGAUUCUCCACAACUUUGUUUAAAUUGUGUAAAUAUCCCUCUCAAAUUUGCUUUCUCUGUAUGGGCAAGUUAAUUGUUUAUAGUAUUUUCUUGGCACGUAAGUCUCUUCUAGCUUAAAAAACUAAAUGUUGCUUCUUCGCCACAAAUCUCCAGAGUUGAUAAGUCUAACAGCUAAAUUCCUCAAACGUGUGUUUUCUACAACUGUCUUCAUUUCGUUUCCAGGUAUUCAAACCUGAGAUGCACACAGAGGCUUCUGUUCUCGUUACUUUAAAGUGACUAUGGAGAAGGUUGCCACCAGGACUAUAAUUAUCAAAUACAGAAAAAUGUUUUCCGGGCAUCUGAUUAUGUAAUUUUCCUUACACUAUGUCUUUUUUGUUCCAAUGGUACAUAGUUUUAUGUCAUUGCAACCUGGCUGUAUUGGGUACAUUUUCCUUCUUCCAAAUUCUAAGAAUUAGCUAAUACUAUUUGAUUUUAUUGCAUAUGAAUAUAUCUGAGAGUUUCUUUAUUCAUUUUCAAAGAAACAGUAAUUCUUUGUGCACACUCUGCUGAAAUACAUCAUUUGACAUGGACAGGGAAAAUAAUAUAUUCCUUGGCUUAUUUAUUUCUUUACUAUUUAUUUUAUGUGUGCAGCCAUGUACAGCUGUGUGUGCUUAUCUGUGUGUAUGUGUGUGCUUCUUUCUCUUGUGUGUGUAACCAUUUGUACAUAUGUACACAUUGUCAUAGUUCAAUGCAUGGGUGUUGAUCCUUGAUUUCCACCUUACUAUAUACGAGGUCUCCCUUUUAUUGGGUGCCAUUAAACAUAACAGGCUGGCAGGCUCACUAGCUUUAAGGGAUUCCCCUGUCUCCACCUCCCAUAUCACCACAGGAACACAAGAGCAGCCGGUAUACACUAUUGUGCUCAGAAUGUAAUGGUAUUCUAGUUUGGUUCAUUUUAGGAAUAUUAAGCACUUGAACAACUUUCUGGAGAAAGGGUUGAUUUGAGCUUAUAGGUCCGUCACUAAGGAAACCAGCUUGAACUCUGUCCCACUCUGCUAGCUUAUAGUGUCCAGAAGC
Long non-coding RNA from Rattus norvegicus (Norway rat), 3967 nucleotides. RefSeq lists it as uncharacterized. NCBI's taxonomy places the organism in Eukaryota, Metazoa, Chordata, Mammalia, Rodentia, Muridae. The record is from RefSeq and is a predicted model, not a curated record.